RNAcentral lists this long non-coding RNA (777 nucleotides) under Octopus vulgaris (common octopus). The record is from RNAcentral. Lineage: Eukaryota; Metazoa; Mollusca; Cephalopoda; Octopoda; Octopodidae.
UUCUCUUUUGAUAUUUAACUUUAUAUGGCCGUCAAAUCAAAACAGGAUGAGUCGUUUAACAAUCAACAAACCAAAGUCAAUAAGUAAGCUGUUCCACUUUGCUCUAUCUUUUAUUACCCAGAAUUUCGCUAUUACUGGAACGAACUUCGCUUUUUCGUAUGAAGUCUUUUUAGGUCAAAGAACAAUACCCAGAAUUUCAUUUUCUGCAUUUUUAUGCUUAUUUUCAUUCGUUUUUCUUUCGACAACUGUGACAGUAACCAUUCUAACCUGCGUGACACGCAGAAGACAGAACUUUAAAUCACAAAAAAUAUCCCGUAUAGUGUAUUUUCUUCGCUCAAUUCAUUUUACAAAUGCAUUUACAUAAACUCCCUUUUAAAGGUUGUUGCAAGCAUGUUCGCUCUUUACCUGUGAGUGCCCAUAUUUUAAUCGAGUCCAUCUAGCUUUACGUGGGCUGUCCACCCCUUAACGUGACAGACUAGCCUAACGCACCAACAUCAGCUUCAUAGGGGAAAGCUUUUCCCGCUAAUUACUCAAUAUGGUGAGUCGUGACGAUCGAGUUCGGAUCUCUGGCAUGAGAGCAGUUUUAUUCCGCUUUGCAGCUUCAGUGAGGAGAUUUUUGUCAAGGGAGAUUCUUGUCGCUAUAUUUUGUAUUUUUCCCGUGGACUUCAACAUGAAGAAGCCUGGUGAACUUAUGUAUUUUAAUUGACAGAAGUAUUCACGUACACCAGUUGCUGUAUUUUCUUUUAGCUGCGAAAUAAAUGUGGCAGUUAACUUUAA